AGAGUUUGAUCAUGGCUCAGAACGAACGCUGGCGGCGUGCUUAACACACGCAAGUCUAACGAGAAAGCUUCCUUCGGGGAGUUAGUAAAGUGGCGCACGGGUGAGUAACACGUGGGUAACCUACCCUUCAGUUUGGGAUAACAUUUCGAAAGGGAUGCUAAUACCAAAUACGUUCAAAAAGGCUUCGGCUUUAUUGGAGAAAGAUGGCCUCUAUACUAUGCUGUUGCUGAUGGAUGGGCCCGCGUACCAUUAGCUAGUUGGUAAGGUAACGGCUUACCAAGGCUACGAUGGUUAGCUGGUCUGAGAGGAUGAUCAGCCACACUGGUACUGGAACACGGACCAGACUCCUACGGGAGGCAGCAGUGGGGAAUAUUGCGCAAUGGGGGCAACCCUGACGCAGCAACGCCGCGUGAGUGAUGAAGGCCUUUGGGUCGUAAAGCUCUGUCAGAGGGGAAGAAGGUGCUGGGGUUAAUACCCCUGGUUACUUGACGGUACCCUCAAAGGAAGCACCGGCUAACUCCGUGCCAGCAGCCGCGGUAAUACGGGGGGUGCAAGCGUUGUUCGGAAUUACUGGGCGUAAAGGGCGCGUAGGCGGCUAUUUAAGUCAGAUGUGAAAGCCCAGGGCUCAACCCUGGAACUGCAUUUGAAACUGAGUGGCUUGAGUACGGGAGAGGGAAGUGGAAUUCCAAGUGUAGAGGUGAAAUUCGUAGAUAUUUGGAGGAACACCAGUGGCGAAGGNGGCUUCCUGGNNCGAUACUGACGCUGAGGNNCGAAANCGUGGGGAGCAAACAGGAUUANAUAC
Molecule: ribosomal RNA, 802 nt
Filed under: uncultured bacterium
Lineage: Bacteria
Description: bacterial SSU rRNA
Rfam family: Bacterial small subunit ribosomal RNA
Source: RNAcentral